RNAcentral lists this ribosomal RNA (501 nucleotides) under uncultured bacterium. RNAcentral's name for it is "partial 16S ribosomal RNA". It matches the Rfam family "Bacterial small subunit ribosomal RNA", at positions 30 to 523 of the family's 1533-position model. The record is from RNAcentral.
AUUGAACGCUGGCGGCAGGCUUAACACAUGCAAGUCGAGCGGAGAGAGGUAGCUUGCUACUGAUCUUAGCGGCGGACGGGUGAGUAAUGCUUAGGAAUCUGCCUAUUAGUGGGGGACAACAUUUCGAAAGGAAUGCUAAUACCGCAUACGUCCUACGGGAGAAAGCAGGGGAUCUUCGGACCUUGCGCUAAUAGAUGAGCCUAAGUCGGAUUAGCUAGUUGGUGGGGUAAAGGCCUACCAAGGCGACGAUCUGUAGCGGGUCUGAGAGGAUGAUCCGCAACACUGGGACUGAGACACAGCCCAGACUCCUACGGGAGGCAGCAGUGGGGAAUAUUGGACAAUGGGCGCAAGCCUGAUCCAGCCAUGCCGCGUGUGUGAAGAAGGCCUUAUGGUUGUAAAGCACUUUAAGCGAGGAGGAGGCUACUUUAGUUAAUACCUAGAGAUAGUGGACGUUACUCGCAGAAUAAGCACCGGCUAACUCUGUGCCAGCCGCCGCGGUAA